GGCUCGGUGGUGGAUGGUUCACACCUGUAUGUUGUAAUCGAAUGGAAUUUCUUCAAGCAGGAGAAGCCUGUUCGAAUCAGGCCCGAGCCA
Mycena metata is the source of this 90-nucleotide non-coding RNA. The record is from the annotation of a GenBank genome assembly. Lineage: Eukaryota; Fungi; Basidiomycota; Agaricomycetes; Agaricales; Mycenaceae.